This 77-nucleotide transfer RNA is filed under the name bacterium. Its description in RNAcentral is "tRNA-Ile". It matches the Rfam family "tRNA". Rfam says of the family: Transfer RNA (tRNA) molecules are approximately 80 nucleotides in length. Their secondary structure includes four short double-helical elements and three loops (D, anti-codon, and T loops). The record is from RNAcentral.
GGGUGUGUAGCUCAGGUGGUUAGAGCGCAGUCCUGAUAAGACUGAGGUCCCUGGUUCGAGUCCAGGCAUACCCACCA